Molecule: ribosomal RNA, 603 nt
Filed under: Triticum aestivum (bread wheat)
Lineage: Eukaryota; Viridiplantae; Streptophyta; Magnoliopsida; Poales; Poaceae
Description: partial small subunit ribosomal RNA
Source: RNAcentral
AUGCUCACUUGCUUGCUCGUGGUCGUGUUCCUAUCUCGGAGGUGCUUGCCGAGCUUCGUGCUGAGGAGACCCACCUUCGCUCUGCUAGUUUGCUGGUGGUCCCAUCUGUGUUGGCCGCUCGGGCUCCUAUGUCGUCUGCUCGGCUCACCGCUCCACCGCUUCUCCCCACACCUUCAGGGGGUGGGUCGCCCUGCUUAUACUGAGAGGAGCUUGUCACGCCGUGACACCUUCUGUGGCUACUGCUCCCAGCUAGGUCACCCAGAGUCUGAUUGUCGUGAGAAGAAGCGAGACCAGCGGCGCUCCUCUUCCAGCGAGACUCCUGGAUCUUCCUCGACCCCGUCACUCACUGAUCAGGACAUUCUAAGGCUCAAACGUCUCUUGGCUUCCUCAGGCUCUUCGUCGACUGGUUCAGCUGUUGUUGUGAUGGCAUCCACUUCUCCAUCACCGCAGGCAUCUACACAGUCAGGUACAUCUUUGUGGGUUCUGAAUUCUGGAGCCUGCUUUCAUAUGUCUUUUGAUUCUUCCGCGUUGUCUUCUAUCCAACCUCUUGAUUCGCCUGUUAAUGUUUCUUACUGCCGAUGGCACAUCUCUUCCUGUUGCUAG